Molecule: non-coding RNA, 22 nt
Filed under: Arabidopsis thaliana (thale cress)
Lineage: Eukaryota; Viridiplantae; Streptophyta; Magnoliopsida; Brassicales; Brassicaceae
Source: RNAcentral
GUGUGAAUUGCAGAAUCCCGUG